GAUGAACGCUGGCGGCGUGCCUAAUACAUGCAAGUCGAGCGAACAGAUGAGGAGCUUGCUCCUCUGACGUUAGCGGCGGACAGGUGAGUAACACGUGGAUAACCUACCUAUAAGACUGGGAUAAAUUCGGGAAACCGGAGCUAAUACCGGAUAAUAUAUUGAACCGCAUGGUUCAAUAGUGAAAGACGGCUUUGCUGUCACUUAUAGAUGGAUCCGCGCGGCAUUAGCUAGUUGGUGAGGUCACGGCUUACCAAGGCAACGAUGCGUAGCCGAUCUGAGAGGAUGAGCGGCCACACUGGAACUGAGACACGGUCGAGAGUCGUACGGGAGGCGGCAGUGGGGAAUAUUGCACAAUGGGCGAAAGCCUGAUGGAGCAAGGGAGCGUGUAUGAAGAAGGUCUUCGGGUCGUAAAGGACUGUUAGCAGGGAAGAAGGGAGGAAAGAGAAUAUAUGUGCGCAUUGACGUUACCCGAAGAAGAAGCACCGGCUAACUCCGUG
This 497-nucleotide ribosomal RNA is filed under the name uncultured bacterium. Its description in RNAcentral is "partial 16S ribosomal RNA". It matches the Rfam family "Bacterial small subunit ribosomal RNA", at positions 28 to 507 of the family's 1533-position model. The record is from RNAcentral.